GCGGCCGCCGCCAAGCAGAUCUCAUCCCAUCAGUUGAAGACCUUAAGAGAAAAGAGACUGACCUGCUCUGAGCAAGGAGGAAUUCUGCUGGCCAACUGCUUGUGAACUCCAACUUGUAAUAUCGGUCUCCAGCCUACCGGCUUACUCUGCAGAUUUUGGAUUUGCCAAGCCUCCACAACCGCAGAAGCCAAUUCCUUAAAAUGAAUCCCUUACAACAGUUCCCUAAAAUAAAUUCUUCAAAAUUCCUUAAAAUAAAUGUGUGUGCAUGUGUGUCUGUGUAUAUAUAUAGCCUAUGUAAUGUCUAAUAUAGAUCUAUAAUAUAUAUUAGAUAAAUAUACACAUACUUAUCAUAUAUAUAUGUGUGUGUGUGUGUGUGUUUCUCCUAUUGGUUCUGUUCUCUGGAGAACCUAAUACAGAAACAAAUCUGUUUAUUCUUCUAGCCUC
Molecule: long non-coding RNA, 444 nt
Filed under: Homo sapiens (human)
Lineage: Eukaryota; Metazoa; Chordata; Mammalia; Primates; Hominidae
Description: non-protein coding LINC02352:12
Source: RNAcentral